RNAcentral lists this ribosomal RNA (398 nucleotides) under uncultured bacterium. RNAcentral's name for it is "bacterial SSU rRNA". It matches the Rfam family "Bacterial small subunit ribosomal RNA", at positions 955 to 1355 of the family's 1533-position model. The record is from RNAcentral.
UAUAACGGGGAAAGACCUUACCUGGUCUUGACAUGUCCGGAAUCUUCCAGAGACGGGCGAGUCCUUUCGGGAACCGUAACACAGGUGGUGCAUGGGUGUUGUCAGCUCGUGUCGUGAGAUUUUGGGUUAAGUCCCGCAACGAGCGCAACCCUUUUCAUUAGUUCCCAUCAUUAAGUUGGGCACUUUAAUGAGACUGCCGGGGACAAACCGGAGGAAGGUGGGGAUGACGUCAAGUCCUCAUGGCCCUUAUGACCAGGGCUUCACACGUCAUACAAUGGUCGGUACAGAGGGUAGCCAAGCCGCGAGGUGGAGCCAAUCUCAGAAAACCGAUCUCAGUUCGGAUGCAGUCUGCAACUCGCGUACAUGAAGUCGGAAUCGCUAGUAAUCGCCAGUUCCAU